Molecule: ribosomal RNA, 776 nt
Filed under: uncultured Neocallimastigales
Lineage: Eukaryota; Fungi; Neocallimastigomycota; Neocallimastigomycetes; Neocallimastigales
Description: partial large subunit ribosomal RNA
Rfam family: Eukaryotic large subunit ribosomal RNA
Source: RNAcentral
AGAGAGAGACAUGCGCGCAUAUCAAUAAGCGGAGGAAAAGAAACUAACAAGGAUUCCCUUAGUAACGGCGAGUGAAGCGGGAAGAGCUCAAAUUUGAAAUCUUCAAGGUUCUACCUUGACGAAUUGUAGUUUAUAGAAGUGUUUUCUGUUAGUGGAGUUGGCAAAAGUUCUUUGGAAUAGGACAUCGAUAGAGGGUGAGAAUCCCGUAUUUGGUCAUUCCUCCUAGCGUUGUGAUACACUUUCAACGAGUCGGAUUGUUUGGGAAUGCAGUCCAAAAUGGGUGGUAAAUUUCAUCUAAAGCUAAAUAUUGGCGAGAGACCGAUAGCGAACAAGUACCGUGAGGGAAAGAUGAAAAGAACUUUGAAAAGAGAGUUAAACAGUACGUGAAAUUGUCAAAAGGGAAGCGUUUGACACCAGUGUUGUUUUUCCGAAAAUCAAUUACGAAUGUUUUGUUUUCGAGGAGUUAUGACUUCAUCGGCUUGCUCCUUUCUUUACGAAACUUUCUUAAUGCACUUUUCGGUUAACAAGUCAACAUCAAUUUCUUUUGUUGUAAAAGGGUAUGAGGAAGGUGGCUUUCUUUUCGGAGAAAGUGUUUAUAGCCUUGUACCUCUGCAAUCGGAGAGAUUGAGGUCUGCAGCGUAGAUCCUUCGGGGUUAGAUACAUUUGUGCUAAGUUAUAGCUUUUCAUAGACAACUUGUUGACUAUGUUUAGUCUUGUAGCUUACUCGCUUACGCUAUUUUACCUACGCUUAGGAUGUUGAUAGUCACAGCGUGUAC